ACCCGCGGACGCGCUGCGCCUGCGCAAACGUGGCUGCCAGCUUACAAGACGCGCGCCGGUUUUUUUGCGUCAUCACAGGGCGCCGGAGAAAUUGAAUCUACCCAGAGGGCGAUUCCGGAAAGGCGCCUGCUGUGUAGCCAGGAUGUGAACUGGCAGAAGCUCGUGCCGCCAUGCUGGAUCAGGGCGGAUGCUGCUGGAAUAGGAAGGUGUUUGAACAUUGGAGCUAAACUCAGAGCCCUGGUUAUUUGACUCAAAGCUGGUGCAUUCCAAUACAGUUGUCUUCCCUUAUCUGCUGAAAAUACAGUCCAAGACCCCCAGUGGAUACCUGAAACUGCAUAUAGUACCGAACCAUUUAAUGAAACCACAGAAAGUGAAACCUCAGCUAAAGGAGGACUAUUGUAUAGCAAAGCCAAUCAGCUGGGGGCUGUUUCCCUACUAUGCCAUGAGAGUCGCAGACUAUUCUUGCCUUUCUUUUUAGACACGUGAUUCCUUGAAUGCUUUUCUUGCUCCUUCUACCUGUUCAAUUCAGUAAACUUUAUGCUCUGUAAUAAAGAAUUCGACUGGA
Long non-coding RNA from Sapajus apella (tufted capuchin), 565 nucleotides. RefSeq lists it as uncharacterized. The transcript is spliced from 2 exons. The record is from RefSeq and is a predicted model, not a curated record. NCBI's taxonomy places the organism in Eukaryota, Metazoa, Chordata, Mammalia, Primates, Cebidae.